UUUCAGAGGUCAUACUGAAAUUCUCAGCUGCAUCUUUUUUGUAUAUGAUGUUCAGAGAACAAAAAUUGACGAUUUCGCUAACGGAGGAUGUCCCCGGCAUUAUUGUUUUGUGAUUUUGCUGUAGCAGCAACUGCUGCAUCUAACAACCUGUGAUACGAGUCACAAAGGCCCAACCCAAGCUUAAGAAGGUGAUGGGCUCAAAUCAAGAAAAUCAAGAUUCACUUUCUUGUUUUCAAGAAAAUCAAAAAAUCGAAUCUUGGCCUAAUUUUGUUGUUCGGAGCGAUUUCAAGAAUAAAGAAAAUCAAGAUUUCAAAUCUUGGAAAUCUUGGUCCAAGAAACCGAAUCUUGUAGCCAAAGCGCGUUGGAUCUCCAUAACGAGCGUCAACGACCCAAUUUCAGUAGGAGAUGGAUCACAAGCCCAAAUUCUUGAAGGCGAGGCCCAAUAACCAAAAUUCAGCCCAAUCAAGAAAUUUCUUAAUUGAAAAUCAGGCCAAAAUGUCAAAGGGCUCAAUUUGUAAACAUCUUACUUGUUUAAUUUAAUUUUUUUAAUCUUUAGGAGCAUUACAUGUAAAAUUCGGCCCAAAACAGCCCAUAUAAGUGCAUGGCCGAAUUUACCUUGUUAUUUUAUUAAUUAGGUUUAAUUUUUUAUUAGUUACUUGUGAGAUUAGGAUUUGUUAGAGGCCUAUAUAAGCAUUGGCCAGCCACCUUUUGUAAAAACAUCUUAUUAUUAUUUUUUCUAUCAAAUUUUAGAUUUGUUGAGUGCAGAAUUUUCUUUGGAGUUUUCUCCAAGAAUUCUCUCUUGAGUUUUCUUUAGAAGUUGUUUUAACAAUCUUUUGAUUGUGGGAGCCAUCUUCAACCUUCUUCUUGCCAUCGAUAUUCUUUGGAGGGGAGAUUAGAGCCGUUUGAAGAGAUUUGUGAAAUCUUUCGGGAUUUCAAGGAUCUUUAGGACUUAUCCUUUAAUUCUUGCUAUUUUCGAUUUCUUUCUUUACUUUUCUUUGCUUAUACUUGUGCCGAUUUCUCAUCUAAUAUUUUACUGUUCUUGUUUGUUUUCCAGCAUUGAUUAAACUCAAGAUCUCAUCGUUUAAGUUGUUCUCCUAUUGGCAGCACCCAUUCGAACCCAAAAAUCCCCAAUUCCUAGGGUUUGGCUGAUUGGAUUUCUUCCAAUUUGGGAAUCAAUUGAUUGCUGGAAAUUGAGCAUUCUUGGUCGAAUCAAUUCCUUGGCAGAUUCGCAUAUUUUCUUUCUUCUCAAUUUCGUUUGAUUCAUCGAUUCUAUUUCUUUUCUUCUUGCUGCUCUUUUAAUUGAAUUUGGGAAUUUUAAAUUCAAAUCUGAUUCGGUUUAAUCUUGUUCUUUGUUUUGAUUUCAGAUCUGAUUUGUCUAGAGCUUUCAUAGGAAUUUCUCGUGACUUGGCAACUCGAUCUUGGUCCGCGUGCGCCUCUGUAUCAUUUGGUAUCAGAUUUUGGGCGUUUUGGGUGUUCUUGGUUGAUUUCUAAACUGAUCUCUAUUUUUUAAAGCAUAAACAGCAGUUUUACCCAGAAAAAUUGCUCAAAAAAAAUUCAUUUGAGUGGUUUAAACGUUGUCCUAUUGAUCUGAAAUUUUACAUACAUGUUUUUGGCACUGUGAUUGAAUAUAAAAAAAUUAUUCCCGCAAAAAAAUCAGUCAAAAAAGUAAAAAAAAUCAAAAAAUAUGAAAUUCAAUAAAAAUUUAAAAAAAGAUUCAGCGGGUUGCAUUUGGUGCCUAAAAUUUCCAGAUCAAAAAUUUAAUAUAUAAGGACACUCCAGAUUUAAUUUCGUGAUUUUUGGAGAUCGGGAACACCUCGAACAAAGUUGUCAAGUUACUCCGCAGUUUUUCGGGUUUUCUGUUUUCAGCAAUUUUUAUUGACUCUUAGCUGUAGGUUUUCAUUUGUUUGCCUUUAUUUUUCCUUUACAUUAUCUAGCACCUUCUUGUUUCUUGUGUUAGUAGGAUUUUUAAAGUGUGCACAAUUCUUCCUCGGUGCAACACAAAUCAGUUGGUGUCUCGUCCGUUUUUUGGCAUCCUAGUGCAAAUUAGGAUUCUUUGGUAGUUUGGUUCACACUCUCUAAUUGGUUGAUAUAAACUCUGAUAAAGAACUCACAAGAUUGAAUUCUACCUCAUUGAGAAUUUGAAUUUUCUUUUUGAGUGAUUAACGGUGAGGUUUGCUAACUUUUAUUUUUGAGUGUCGAGUGUUUAUUUUUUACAGGUUUUUGAAAAUGUCUAAAGGUGAUAAUAAUGAGGACAUAUUUAAAAGAUUCCAACAACAGUUGGACGAACAGGCUGCUGCACUUCGAGCGUUGACUGCUACUAUCAAUGAGGUGCGGUUGAAUCAAGAGCCUCAAUAUCGAGAUCAAAUUAAAGACGAUGUGGAUAGCCAGCCUCCUGCUCAUAGGCGCGCUCCUCGGCGUGUCCCUAGAACUGAUUAUGAUCUUCAUGAUCGUGGACAACCCUCUUUGGCAAAACCAAAGAGCGAGCAGCAACGAGAACAUCUCUUUCAUACUCGCUGCCAUGUACAAGGUAAGCUUUGUAGAGUUAUUAUUGAUGGUGAAAGUUGUUCGAACGUAGCCAGCACGACGAUGGUGGAAAAGCUUUGCUUAACCACUACCAAGCAUCCACGACCUUAUCAACUACAAAGGCUUAGCAACGAAAGCCAAUUUAAGGUCACUCAACAAGUGCGCAUCGCCUUUUCUAUCGGUAAGUAUCAAGACGAAGUCGUGUGCGACGUAGUACCUAUUCAAGCCUGCCAUUUGUUGCUAGGAGAACCAUGGCAACUAGAUCGAAAGGUCACUCACGAUGGUCGUACCAAUAGGUAUUCUUUCAAGUAUCAAGGAAGGAAAAUCACCUUAGUGCCGCUCACUCCGGAACAAGUCCAUGAGGACCAAAUCAAACUGAAAAAUUCUGUUGUUAAAACAAGUGAGGAAAAAGAAAAAGAGAAUGAAAAAGAGAAAAAAGAGAUUGAGAGUGAAAAGGAAUGUGAAACAGAAAAGAAAAUUGAAAAAGAAGUUGAAGAAAGAAGAGAAAAUGAGUUAGAAAAAGAAACAAAAGAAAAAGACGAGGAAAGGCUAGUGAGGAAUGUUUUCACUAACCAAGAUAUGAAUUUUUCUUGUGUUACUACUUUUCAGGUUCCCGAAGGACCGAAAGAUAACUUUCAACUUCAAUACCUCUCAAAUGAAAGACGCUUUCAUACGAUCAACUUAGGCAAAGAUGAAAUCACACUACAUGAUCCCGAAGGUAAGCGAGGUAAGAAAAUUUUAGAAACCGAGUCCAAUGCAGAUUUGAAAAUUAUUGAUAAAACUUUUGGUGACUUAGUUCUUAAAAGAUCCCCUCAUUUUGAUCCGAUUAAUUGUUACUCUUCGAUUGUGGUUGAUAAAGUCAUUACGAAAAGAAGCGUGAUUUGUUAUUCUCUUGAUUUACCUUGUGUAAAAUCCUCGAAUUUGUCCAAAUCUAUUUUGGAGAAUAAGGUAACGAAAUUUUCCAAAUUUGUUUUCAAUUUAUAUUCGUGCCUUAAACAGUUUAUGUGGUUGUACAUGAAGUUUGAGUUCCAUUUGACAAAGGUUAACUCAACAACGGAGAUUCGACUACACUAUGCCCCCGAUGAGCGAAGGUUUGUUUUAAAUGAAAAAGGUAAAAUCGACCCUUAUUCUUUUGCUUAUCAAGGUAAGAUGCUUGAAACCUUUGAAACACUUUUGUACUCCUCGGAUAGCGACAAAGAUCGUGUUGAUGAACACUUAGAUCGAAACGUGCUUGACUGUCCUAUUUUACUUAUUGAUGAUAAAUCUAUUUUGAUGGUUGAUAAAAAGAUUCUUGUUUUUGAUAAUGCAUGUGUGAGUGAAUCUAUAGACCGUCGAUUAAGGCAUGGUAAUCUGAAUCUGUCCAUUCACAUGCGUUAUACCUGUUCUAUUAUGCUUAUAAUUGGACUACAAGCUUGUUUGCGUUGCUAUUUACUAUUUCAUGGCUAUUCUUUUCAGUGGACUCAAUUGCCAUUAGUCCCGUUCGAUCGAGGAAAGUCGAGUUCAUUUGAUUUUUUAGAUUCGAGGACGAAUCUUUUUGAGGAAGGGGGGAAUGAUACGAGUCACAAAGGCCCAACCCAAGCUUAAGAAGGUGAUGGGCUCAAAUCAAGAAAAUCAAGAUUCACUUUCUUGUUUUCAAGAAAAUCAAGAAAUCGAAUCUUGGCCCAAUUUUGCUGUUCGGAGCGAUUUCAAGAAUCAAGAAAAUCAAGAUUUCAAAUCUUGGAAAUCUUGGUCCAAGAAACCGAAUCUUGCAGCCAAAGCGCGUUGGAUCUCCAUUACGAGCGUCAACGACCCAAUUUCGGUAGGAGAUGGAUCACAAGCCCAAAUUCUUGAAGGCGAGGCCCAAUAACCAAAAUCCAGCCCAAUCAAGAAAUUUCUUCAUACUUAGUUGAAAAUCAGGCCAAAAUGUCAAAGGGCCCAAUUUGUAAACAUCUUACUUGUUUAAUUUUUUUAAUCUUUAGGAGCAUUACAUGUAAAAUUCAGCCCAAAACAGCCCAUAUAAGUGCAUGGCCGAAUUUACCUUGUUAUUUUAUUAAUUAGGUUUAAUUUUUUAUUAGUUAUUUGUGAGAUUAGGAUUUGUUGGAGGCCUAUAUAAGCAUUGGCCAGCCACCCUUUGUAAAAACAUCUUAUUAUUAUUUUUUCUAUAAAAUUUUAGAUUUGUUGAGUGCAGAAUUUUCUUUGGGGUUUUCUCCAAGAAUUCUCUCUUGAGUUUUCUUUAGAAGUUGUUUUAACAAUCUUUUGAUUGUGGGAGCCAUCUUCAACCUUCUUCUUGCCAUAGAUAUUCUUUGGAGGGGAGAUUAGAGCCGUUUGAAGAGAUUUGUGAAAUCUUUCGGGAUUUCAAGGAUCUUUAGGACUUAUCCUUUAAUUCUUGCUGUUUUCGAUUUCUUUCUUUACUUUUCUUUGCUUAUACUUGUGCCGAUUUCUCAUCUAAUAUUUUGCUGUUCUUGUUUGUUUUCCAGCAUUGAUUAAACUCAAGAUCUCAUCGUUUAAGUUGUUCUCCUAUUGGCAGCACCCAUUCGAACCCAAAAAUCCCCAAUUCCUAGGGUUUGGCCGAUUGGAUUUCUUUCAAUUUGGGAAUCAAUUGAUUGCUGGAAAUUGGGCAUUCUUGGCCGAAUCAAUUCCUUGGCAGAUUCGCAUCUUUUCUUUCUUCUCAAUUUCGUUUGAUUCAUCGAUUCUAUUUCUUUUCUUCUUGCUGCUCUUUUAAUUGAAUUUGGGAAUUUUAAAUUCAAAUCUGAUUCGGUUUAAUCUUGUUCUUUGUUUUGAUUUUAGAUCUGAUUUGUCUAGAGCUUUCAUAGGAAUUUCUCGUGACUUGGCAACUCGAUCUUGGUCCGCGUGCGCCUCCGUAUCAACCUGUUAACACACGGUAUUCUUUCACACCCUGGUUUUAUGAUUCUUUGUAAAUUAGUUGCAGUUUGAUUUGGAAGAAAUUUUGGUUUAGGUUGUGAGAAAUCGGGGUAUCAUUAUUGAUAUUUCACAUUGAAUUUUGUGAGAAACCAGUUUUAUGAUUCAGUUUUGGUGUAAAUAACUCUUUGUCCCAGUUUCGAGAAUUUGUUUGUUAUUAAAUAUUGCUGGAUUUAUAACCCUUGAUCUUAUUUUUUUGGUUACCAGUGCAAUAGAGUUAAAAAUUAAAACGGCAAGCAGAAAAACAUACAGGGUACAAUCUUUUCGGUGAUUUGCUUAUAGAUCAUCAAAACAAACGUUCUAUAUCUAUUAGCUACGGUUGCAGAAGACGAGACUCCUAUUAAGGCAAAGCCUGCUAUUAUCUGGGGAUCCUGAUAAUUAUAUUCUGGUUUUGUCAAACAAUAUUCAAUCCAUGCAUCUGUUUACAUAAAUUUUAAAAGUUACACAAGUUACAGACAUUAUCUCAUCAACUUUAUUACAUUGAUGGAUAAUUUUAACAAUAUAAUCACAAUGUCUACAUAAACUUCCAAAUAAAUCUGAUAUUUAUAUUGUAGUGG
RNAcentral lists this long non-coding RNA (5978 nucleotides) under Gossypium barbadense (sea-island cotton). RNAcentral describes it as "long non-coding RNA (GBAR_LNC000659)". The record is from RNAcentral. Lineage: Eukaryota; Viridiplantae; Streptophyta; Magnoliopsida; Malvales; Malvaceae.